CGGAGUGUAGCGCAGCCUGGUAGCGCAUCUGGUUUGGGACCAGAGGGUCGGAGGUUCGAAUCCUCUCACUCCGA
Transfer RNA from Brevundimonas sp. Root1423, 74 nucleotides. It matches the Rfam family "tRNA". Rfam says of the family: Transfer RNA (tRNA) molecules are approximately 80 nucleotides in length. The record is from Rfam. Lineage: Bacteria; Pseudomonadati; Pseudomonadota; Alphaproteobacteria; Caulobacterales; Caulobacteraceae.